This 253-nucleotide ribosomal RNA is filed under the name uncultured bacterium. RNAcentral describes it as "partial 16S ribosomal RNA". It matches the Rfam family "Bacterial small subunit ribosomal RNA", at positions 524 to 776 of the family's 1533-position model. The record is from RNAcentral.
UACGGAGGGUGCGAGCGUUGUCCGGAAUCAUUGGGCGUAAAGGGCGCGUAGGUGGCCCAGCAAGCGUGCGGUGAAAGCUCGGGGCUCAACCCCGGGUCGGCCGUGCGAACUGCGGGGCUGGAGCACUGUAGAGGCAGGCGGAAUUCCGGGUGUAGCGGUGGAAUGCGUAGAGAUCCGGAAGAACACCGGUGGCGAAGGCGGCCUGCUGGGCAGUUGCUGACACUGAGGCGCGACAGCGUGGGGAGCAAACAGG